Molecule: long non-coding RNA, 532 nt
Filed under: Phoenix dactylifera (date palm)
Lineage: Eukaryota; Viridiplantae; Streptophyta; Magnoliopsida; Arecales; Arecaceae
Description: long non-coding RNA (PDAC_LNC020960)
Source: RNAcentral
UUUGUUUUUAAUAUCUUGUAACUUGAUUCAAUCAAGGGAUUGAAUCAAGGGGUUAAGGUUUGUUGGUGAGCCAAAGGGAAAACCAACGGUGUUAGGUUUGUUGGUGAGCCGAGGGUAAAACCAACGUGUAAGGGUUCGAUUGUGAUCCCGGAAAAACAAUCGGGGUGGUUCUAGUCGGUGAACCUGAGAAAAACCGACCGAGUUCGUUGUGCGCUCGAAAAACAACAAGUUGGGUUGUGAGCUUGUAAAACAACCAACUGUAAUCUGUAGGAUUAUAGUGAAAUUCCCAAGAGGUCUUGGAGAGUGGAUGUAGGUGCUGGGGUGCACCGAACCACUAUAUGUUUGUUGUGUUUGUAAUGCUUCUUGUUAUUGUCUAACUAACACACUUACUUACUUAGAUAAAUUGCUUGCUUAACUCUUAUCCGCGCAUCCUUUAGCUGCAAGCAUAUUCAAUCAAGUCACAUUCUAUACAUCAAACUGUUGCUAAGUUUAACUCUCACUGUGCAUCUAUACAACUUAGCAUAAUUAAUCA